UAGGAGCACCGCAGGAAGCGACCCAAACAACAGGGAAUAGGGACAGUGCCUCGGAGAGGCAAUGCCAUUACGGAUGAUCAGGAUCUAUUCUGCAAAACCCCGCCUCGGCGGGGUUUU
Molecule: small RNA, 117 nt
Filed under: Halopseudomonas sabulinigri
Lineage: Bacteria; Pseudomonadati; Pseudomonadota; Gammaproteobacteria; Pseudomonadales; Pseudomonadaceae
Source: RNAcentral